This 73-nucleotide transfer RNA is filed under the name Dictyocaulus viviparus (bovine lungworm). It matches the Rfam family "tRNA". Rfam says of the family: Transfer RNA (tRNA) molecules are approximately 80 nucleotides in length. Their secondary structure includes four short double-helical elements and three loops (D, anti-codon, and T loops). Lineage: Eukaryota; Metazoa; Nematoda; Chromadorea; Rhabditida; Metastrongylidae. The record is from Rfam by way of RNAcentral.
GCCUCGGUAGUGUAAUGGAUCAGCACGGCAGAUCGUAUGUCUGUAAGUGCAGGUUCGAGUCCCUCCUGAGGUU